GACGAACGCUGGCGGCGUGCUUAACACAUGCAAGUCGAACGGAAAGGCCCCUUUGGGGGUACUCGAGUGGCGAACGGGUGAGUAACACGUGAGUAACCUGCCCUUGACUUCGGGAUAACUUCAGGAAACUGGGGCUAAUACCGGAUAGGAAUCCUUGCUGCAUGGUGGGAGUUGGAAAGCUUCGGCGGUUUUGGAUGGACUCGCGGCUUAUCAGCUUGUUGGUGGGGUAGUGGCUUACCAAGGCUUUGACGGGUAGCCGGCCUGAGAGGGCGACCGGCCACAUUGGGACUGAGAUACGGCCCAGACUCCUACGGGAGGCAGCAGUGGGGAAUAUUGCACAAGGGGCGGAAGCCUGAUGCAGCAACGCCGCGUGCGGGAUGACGGCCUUCGGGUUGUAAACCGCUUUCAGCAGGGGCGAAGCUUGUGGUGACGGUACCUGCAGAAGAAGCACCGGCUAACUACGUG
This 465-nucleotide ribosomal RNA is filed under the name uncultured bacterium. Its description in RNAcentral is "partial 16S ribosomal RNA". It matches the Rfam family "Bacterial small subunit ribosomal RNA", at positions 28 to 507 of the family's 1533-position model. The record is from RNAcentral.